AACGAACGCUGGCGGCAUGCCUAACACAUGCAAGUCGAACGAGACCUUCGGGUCUAGUGGCGCACGGGUGCGUAACGCGUGGGGACCUGCCCUUAGGUUCGGAAUAACUCCCCGAAAGGGGUGCUAAUACCGGAUAAUGUCUUCGGACCAAAGAUUUAUCGCCUUUGGAUGGGCCCGCGUUGGAUUAGCUAGUUGGUAGGGUAAAAGCCUACCAAGGCGACGAUCCAUAGCUGGUCUGAGAGGAUGAUCAGCCACACUGGGACUGAGACACGGCCCAGACUCCUACGGGAGGCAGCAGUGGGGAAUAUUGGACAAUGGGCGAAAGCCUGAUCCAGCAAUGCCGCGUGAGUGAUGAAGGCCUUAGGGUUGUAAAGCUCUUUUACCCGGGAUGAUAAUGACAGUACCGGGAGAAUAAGCACCGGCUAACUCCGUG
RNAcentral lists this ribosomal RNA (433 nucleotides) under uncultured bacterium. RNAcentral describes it as "partial 16S ribosomal RNA". It matches the Rfam family "Bacterial small subunit ribosomal RNA", at positions 29 to 507 of the family's 1533-position model. The record is from RNAcentral.